UCUCAUUACUCCUGGUCUUGGGAGUUGCCU
Molecule: non-coding RNA, 30 nt
Filed under: Homo sapiens (human)
Lineage: Eukaryota; Metazoa; Chordata; Mammalia; Primates; Hominidae
Source: RNAcentral